This 497-nucleotide ribosomal RNA is filed under the name uncultured bacterium. RNAcentral's name for it is "partial 16S ribosomal RNA". It matches the Rfam family "Bacterial small subunit ribosomal RNA", at positions 28 to 507 of the family's 1533-position model. The record is from RNAcentral.
GAUGAACGCUGGCGGCGUGCCUAAUACAUGCAAGUCGAGCGAACAGACGAGGAGCUUGCUCCUCUGACGUUAGCGGCGGACGGGUGAGUAACACGUGGAUAACCUACCUAUAAGACUGGGAUAACUUCGGGAAACCGGAGCUAAUACCGGAUAAUAUAUUGAACCGCAUGGAUCAAUAGUGAAAGACGGCUUUGCUGUCACUUAUAGAUGGAUCCGCGCCGCAUUAGCUAGUUGGUAAGGUAACGGCUUACCAAGGCAACGUUGCGUAGCCGACCUGAGAGGUUGGUCGGCCACACUGGAACUGAGACACGGUCCAGACUCCUACGGGAGGCAGCAGUAGGGAAUCUUCCGCAAUGGGCGAAAGCCUGGCGGAGCAACGCCGCGUGUGUGAUGAAGGUCUUCGGAUCGUAAAACUCUGUUAUUAGGGAAGAACAAAUGUGUAAGUAACUAUGCACGUCUUGACGGUACCUAAUCAGAAAGCCACGGCUAACUACGUG